GCACAUCGUGCACGGCUCCCGUGCUCAAUCCAUUUCAACCCCCUUGUGCACCUUAUCGAAGUCAGUAGUCUUUCUCUUUUUGUUUGCUGGUUGUGUGCGGGAACCUCUUUCUGUUCACUUGGCCGGCGAGGAGAAAUAGAGGGUCGAAAGCUUUGACUUUUCUAUUAAACACUUUGUAUGUCUUGUGGAACGUAUUAGCUCCUUUGUGGGGGCGAAAUAAAUACAACUUUCAACAACGGAUCUCUUGGCUCUCGCAUCGAUGAAGAACGCAGCGAAAUGCGAUAAGUAAUGUGAAUUGCAGAAUUCAGUGAAUCAUCGAAUCUUUGAACGCACCUUGCGCCCCUUGGUAUUCCGAGGGGCAUGCCUGUUUGAGUGUCAUGUUAAUCUCAAACCCCUUGUCUUUUUUGUUGACUUGGUCGGUUUGGACUUGGAGGUGUUGCUGGCGUGCGUCGGCUCCUCUUAAUUGCAUUAGCUGGACUUUGGUUCGCAUUUGACGGUGUAAUAGUAAAGUGUUCGCCGGGCGUGCUUGCCUAACGGGUCUGCUUCUAAUCGUCUUCGGACAACUCUGUUCAUUUGACCUUUGACCUCUUAGCACGUAGAACUACACGCUGAACUUAAGACUAUCAAUAAGCGGAGGAAUAGAUACUAACAGGGAUUCACCUAAUAACUGCUAGUCAAGCGAGAUGAGCUCAAAUUUAAAAUC
This 703-nucleotide ribosomal RNA is filed under the name Phellinus sp. YD-2015. RNAcentral describes it as "eukaryotic LSU rRNA". The stretch from base 225 to 378 matches the Rfam family "5.8S ribosomal RNA". Lineage: Eukaryota; Fungi; Basidiomycota; Agaricomycetes; Hymenochaetales; Hymenochaetaceae. The record is from RNAcentral.